GGUGGACUUUCAGGUCACAGGCUUGGCGCCACGCUUCUCUGUUAUGCCUGCCACAAAGUAUAGAGGCGACAUUUUGGUGCCUCCCAUCUACAGUAUUGAAAUGGAUGCAGCUACUUUUAAAGAUUUUAGUAGUCAUGAAUGGCACAUUGGGGUGCCAAAUUCUGCCUGCCGUGAUGAAAGCCCAGAAGAUGCAGUUUAGUGAUCAUUGAACAUCCCCACUCGCAGAGGCUAAGAACGCUUGAUACUUCUUCUCGCAGUGCUGACUGUUCUGCGGUGUCAAAUCUUACUUCACAGACAUGUUAAUGCAAAAUAUAAUCAAUUAGGAUUAGCUAUAGAUCUAUUUUUGCUCAUGCCUUUUCUCUUGCAAUUUGGCAUGGACAUGGUAGCACACUCACUUCUUGGGGAUUUAGAGAUUGAUUUGAAUCUCCCAAUUUGAAUCGUCUUCCAAGUUGAAGGGAGACAAGCAGUAAAAGUAUAUAUUGGUGUUUUUUUCUCUCUCUCUCUUCUUUUUACGAUUUUCUUUUGUUCUCUUUUACUUUUGAACACUAUACAGAUUUUACUUUAGAAAAUCCGGAUAUAGUUAGUCAAGUGCUGAGGGUAGAACAAUGGGCUUGAUCUCAUUUACACUUCUCCUUAGAUUAGAGGCAACAAGUGUAUCUGUAGAUUGUACACCAUCAAAGUAAAUGAUAAUUUUAUAUUGUU
Long non-coding RNA from Prosopis cineraria, 702 nucleotides. RefSeq lists it as uncharacterized. The record is from RefSeq and is a predicted model, not a curated record. The transcript is spliced from 3 exons. Lineage: Eukaryota; Viridiplantae; Streptophyta; Magnoliopsida; Fabales; Fabaceae.